Long non-coding RNA from Bos taurus (domestic cattle), 1640 nucleotides. The record is from Ensembl. NCBI's taxonomy places the organism in Eukaryota, Metazoa, Chordata, Mammalia, Artiodactyla, Bovidae.
UUGUUUAUGGGCGGCAACCUCACGAGGGGCGUCCCAUCCUUAUUGGCUCAUUGAAGCGAAGAGUGGCAUGAGAACAACCCAAUAAUAGGAAAAGAUAGAGGGUUCGCGAUGUGAGGCGCCCAAUGUGGGCCUUCUGCCGAAGAGGUAGGGGCGGGGGGAAGUUUAGGAGUUGAGGAAAGAAGAUUAAAGAGCGCGAGGAGAGUUUGAAAAAAAUGAAGCUUUCCAUGAAGCUUAAGUACUGAAGAAUAAGCAAAGCUCAAAGUUAUUAGAAGAAAGAAAAUAACAAAGACUAGAACAAAAGUAAAUGAACUAGAGACUAAAAAGACAAUAGAAGAGUCAAUGAAACGAAGAGGUAUUUGAAAUUGGUAUUCUACUUUGAAUUUGAAAAAAAUCUACUAGUAAAUCCAUUUGGUUCUGGAAUUCUGUUUGUUGAGAGGUUUUUGAUUACUAAUUCAAUCUCUUUAGCUAUAAUCAAUCUGUUCAGAUUUUGUAUUCCGUCAUGAUUUAAUCUUGGUAGGUUGUAUGUUUCUACGAAUUUAUCCAUUAUUCUAGGUUGUCCAGUUCAUUGGCAAAUAAUUGUUCGUAGUAGUCUCUCAUGAUCUUUUGUAUUUUUAUGGUAAAAAUUAUAAUAUCUCCUCUUUAAUUUCUGAUUUUAUUUAUUUGAAUCCUUUCUCUUCUUUUCUUAGUGUAGUGACAGAUCUUAAAAGAUCUGUCAAUUUUAUCUUUUCAAAGGACCUCCUCUUUGUUUCAUUGACUCUUCUAUUGUCUUUUUAGUCUCUAGUUCAUUUACUUUUGUUCUAGUCUUUGUUAUUUUCUUUCUUCUACUAACUUUGAGCUUUGCUUAUUCUUCAGUACUUAAGCUUCAUGGUAACUACAAACCUAGAACUUAUAGCAGAUACAUGCACAGAAAGAGGGAGGAGUAAAAGCGUAUUACCAAAGAAAGACUAGGCUCCCAGGUGGUGCUACUGGUAAAGAACUUGCCUGUCAGUGAAGGAGAUGUAAGAGAUCGGGGGUUUGAUCCCUGGUUGGGAAGGAAAUGGCAGUCCACUCCAGUAUUCUUGCCUGGAGAAUCCCAAGGACAGAGGAUCCUGGAGGGCUACAGCCCAUAGGGUCACAAAGAAUUGGAUAUGACUGAAGUGACUUAGCAUGCAUGCAAAGAAAGAUCAUUGUUUUUGUUUUUGUUUUUUUUUAAUCUUGUAAUUACUGUUAAUCAUAGGAUUUUGAAAAGAACAUAUGCCAAGUUUUGAUACUGUCUUUCCUAAACUGAUGUCAUUAUAUGGAUUUAGGUUGGAAAAGAGGACCACAGUAGAGCUUUAAAUCAAAACUUCAGUCUUCUAUAAAGGUUUAUAACUGCCCCAAUAUCCCUUUUGUUUGGACUCCAUGAGAAAAUUGCUGCUUGGCCCUAGAAUCUCUCUGUUUGGAAAUUUUCAAUAUGUAUUCAGUUUCUUACUGAUAUAAUAAAUAUUUAUUUUAAAAAAUAGGUAAAACAAUUUUGAUGUAGAGGUGCCUAUUGAGUAUUACCCUUUACCUCUUAAUACCAUUAGUAUGAUUCUAGGUAUCAAGCUCAACUAGAACAUGAGUUUUACUUAGUUACCAGCAACUAACUAAACAAGUAUGCCCCAGAGCAUAGAAAUAAUGCC